UUGCUUUGGCAGCACAUACACUAAAAUUGGAAUGAUACAGAAGAUUUGUAUGACUCCUGCUCACGGGUGACACAAAACCUUGUAAAGCAUUCCAUAUUUUU
Molecule: small nuclear RNA, 101 nt
Filed under: Neotoma lepida (desert woodrat)
Lineage: Eukaryota; Metazoa; Chordata; Mammalia; Rodentia; Cricetidae
Source: RNAcentral